GACGAACGCUGGCGGCGUGCCUAACACAUGCAAGUCAGGGGGAAAGCUGGCUUCGGCCAGUGCCUAACACAUGCAAGUCGAACGGGGAUGCGGCAUGAAGUUUUCGGAUGGAUUGCCGUAAUCCUAGUGGCGGACGGGUGAGUAACGCGUGGGCAACCUACCCUGUACAGGGGGAUAACUCCGGGAAACCGGGGCUAAUACCGCAUGGUGCCGUAUGAGCGCAUGCUUUUGCGGUGAAAGCGAAUAAGCGGUACGGGAUGGGCCCGCGUCCCAUUAGCUGGUUGGUGAGGUAGCGGCUCACCAAGGCGACGAUGGGUAGCCGACCUGAGAGGGUGAUCGGCCACACUGGGACUGAGACACGGCCCAGACUCCUACGGGAGGCAGCAGUGGGGAAUAUUGCGCAAUGGACGGAAGUCUGACGCAGCGACGCCGCGUGAGCGAAGAAGGCCUUCGGGUCGUAAAGCUCUGUUCUUGGGGACGAAGAAGGUGACGGUACCCAAGGAGAAAGCCCCGGCUAACUACGUGCCAGCAGCCGCGGUAAUACGUAGGGGGCAAGCGUUGUCCGGAAUUACUGGGCGUAAAGGGCGUGUACGCGGCCAUGUAUGUCAGGUGUGAGAGGCCACGGC
This 626-nucleotide ribosomal RNA is filed under the name uncultured bacterium. RNAcentral describes it as "bacterial SSU rRNA". It matches the Rfam family "Bacterial small subunit ribosomal RNA", at positions 28 to 608 of the family's 1533-position model. The record is from RNAcentral.